Molecule: long non-coding RNA, 249 nt
Organism: Notolabrus celidotus (New Zealand spotty)
Lineage: Eukaryota; Metazoa; Chordata; Actinopteri; Labriformes; Labridae
Exons: 2
Source: RefSeq, a predicted model, not a curated record
GGUGGAUGGACAGGUUACUGGAGAGGUGCCAGUUCACCUCAUAGGUGCCCUUAAGGUUGGCGACUUGUCCAGGGUGUACCCUUCCUUCCGCCCAGUCAGGGGUUUAAGAUAUUACCUCAUCACUCCUCAAUUGCUGCAUGUAAAACAAAUCUGUGUGGAGUGAUGAGGUUCUGAGCCUGGAUGACCACAAACAAUGUCAGCUGCAGCAACUAAGUUUUAACUAAUAAAACACAAGUUGUCUGACUGAUA